RNAcentral lists this ribosomal RNA (2436 nucleotides) under Escherichia coli. RNAcentral's name for it is "partial 23S ribosomal RNA". It matches the Rfam family "Bacterial large subunit ribosomal RNA", at positions 397 to 2819 of the family's 2925-position model. The record is from RNAcentral. Lineage: Bacteria; Pseudomonadati; Pseudomonadota; Gammaproteobacteria; Enterobacterales; Enterobacteriaceae.
CUGUGAGCUCGAUGAGUAGGGCGGGACACGUGGUAUCCUGUCUGAAUAUGGGGGGACCAUCCUCCAAGGCUAAAUACUCCUGACUGACCGAUAGUGAACCAGUACCGUGAGGGAAAGGCGAAAAGAACCCCGGCGAGGGGAGUGAAAAAGAACCUGAAACCGUGUACGUACAAGCAGUGGGAGCCUCUUUAUGGGGUGACUGCGUACCUUUUGUAUAAUGGGUCAGCGACUUAUAUUCUGUAGCAAGGUUAACCGAAUAGGGGAGCCGAAGGGAAACCGAGUCUUAACUGGGCGUUAAGUUGCAGGGUAUAGACCCGAAACCCGGUGAUCUAGCCAUGGGCAGGUUGAAGGUUGGGUAACACUAACUGGAGGACCGAACCGACUAAUGUUGAAAAAUUAGCGGAUGACUUGUGGCUGGGGGUGAAAGGCCAAUCAAACCGGGAGAUAGCUGGUUCUCCCCGAAAGCUAUUUAGGUAGCGCCUCGUGAAUUCAUCUCCGGGGGUAGAGCACUGUUUCGGCAAGGGGGUCAUCCCGACUUACCAACCCGAUGCAAACUGCGAAUACCGGAGAAUGUUAUCACGGGAGACACACGGCGGGUGCUAACGUCCGUCGUGAAGAGGGAAACAACCCAGACCGCCAGCUAAGGUCCCAAAGUCAUGGUUAAGUGGGAAACGAUGUGGGAAGGCCCAGACAGCCAGGAUGUUGGCUUAGAAGCAGCCAUCAUUUAAAGAAAGCGUAAUAGCUCACUGGUCGAGUCGGCCUGCGCGGAAGAUGUAACGGGGCUAAACCAUGCACCGAAGCUGCGGCAGCGACGCUUAUGCGUUGUUGGGUAGGGGAGCGUUCUGUAAGCCUGCGAAGGUGUGCUGUGAGGCAUGCUGGAGGUAUCAGAAGUGCGAAUGCUGACAUAAGUAACGAUAAAGCGGGUGAAAAGCCCGCUCGCCGGAAGACCAAGGGUUCCUGUCCAACGUUAAUCGGGGCAGGGUGAGUCGACCCCUAAGGCGAGGCCGAAAGGCGUAGUCGAUGGGAAACAGGUUAAUAUUCCUGUACUUGGUGUUACUGCGAAGGGGGGACGGAGAAGGCUAUGUUGGCCGGGCGACGGUUGUCCCGGUUUAAGCGUGUAGGCUGGUUUUCCAGGCAAAUCCGGAAAAUCAAGGCUGAGGCGUGAUGACGAGGCACUACGGUGCUGAAGCAACAAAUGCCCUGCUUCCAGGAAAAGCCUCUAAGCAUCAGGUAACAUCAAAUCGUACCCCAAACCGACACAGGUGGUCAGGUAGAGAAUACCAAGGCGCUUGAGAGAACUCGGGUGAAGGAACUAGGCAAAAUGGUGCCGUAACUUCGGGAGAAGGCACGCUGAUAUGUAGGUGAAGCGACUUGCUCGUGGAGCUGAAAUCAGUCGAAGAUACCAGCUGGCUGCAACUGUUUAUUAAAAACACAGCACUGUGCAAACACGAAAGUGGACGUAUACGGUGUGACGCCUGCCCGGUGCCGGAAGGUUAAUUGAUGGGGUCAGCGCAAGCGAAGCUCUUGAUCGAAGCCCCGGUAAACGGCGGCCGUAACUAUAACGGUCCUAAGGUAGCGAAAUUCCUUGUCGGGUAAGUUCCGACCUGCACGAAUGGCGUAAUGAUGGCCAGGCUGUCUCCACCCGAGACUCAGUGAAAUUGAACUCGCUGUGAAGAUGCAGUGUACCCGCGGCAAGACGGAAAGACCCCGUGAACCUUUACUAUAGCUUGACACUGAACAUUGAGCCUUGAUGUGUAGGAUAGGUGGGAGGCUUUGAAGUGUGGACGCCAGUCUGCAUGGAGCCGACCUUGAAAUACCACCCUUUAAUGUUUGAUGUUCUAACGUUGACCCGUAAUCCGGGUUGCGGACAGUGUCUGGUGGGUAGUUUGACUGGGGCGGUCUCCUCCUAAAGAGUAACGGAGGAGCACGAAGGUUGGCUAAUCCUGGUCGGACAUCAGGAGGUUAGUGCAAUGGCAUAAGCCAGCUUGACUGCGAGCGUGACGGCGCGAGCAGGUGCGAAAGCAGGUCAUAGUGAUCCGGUGGUUCUGAAUGGAAGGGCCAUCGCUCAACGGAUAAAAGGUACUCCGGGGAUAACAGGCUGAUACCGCCCAAGAGUUCAUAUCGACGGCGGUGUUUGGCACCUCGAUGUCGGCUCAUCACAUCCUGGGGCUGAAGUAGGUCCCAAGGGUAUGGCUGUUCGCCAUUUAAAGUGGUACGCGAGCUGGGUUUAGAACGUCGUGAGACAGUUCGGUCCCUAUCUGCCGUGGGCGCUGGAGAACUGAGGGGGGCUGCUCCUAGUACGAGAGGACCGGAGUGGACGCAUCACUGGUGUUCGGGUUGUCAUGCCAAUGGCACUGCCCGGUAGCUAAAUGCGGAAGAGAUAAGUGCUGAAAGCAUCUAAGCACGAAACUUGCCCCGAGAUGAGUUCUCCCUGAC